This 1325-nucleotide long non-coding RNA is filed under the name Marmota monax (woodchuck). The record is from RNAcentral. Lineage: Eukaryota; Metazoa; Chordata; Mammalia; Rodentia; Sciuridae.
CAAGUUUUCAGUUUUAAAAGUAGAAAUACUAUCAUAAACCUUAUAUAUAGUGACUAAUUUAAACACUUUUGAGUCAUCUACAAUAUAGUUUUACCCAUUCCUAUCAAUAGAAACAACCCUAAUAUAUUAUUUUUAUAUUUACUCCUCAGGUGGAAUGGCUAUUUUAAUAUGCCCAGUGUGGAUAAGAUAUCACAUUUCUGUGACUAAAGAGCUUAUAUUUCUCUAGUUUAUAAAUUUUAAAAAUCUAUUUUCCCCUCAUAAAAUACCUUUUAUUUCCACUAAAGCCAUCCAAAUUAAAUCAAUUUAGGGUUGUAAACAAUAAUUUACAUCCAAUAGUUACUUUUAAUAUUUAUAUUCUUGUUAUUUCUGCAAGCAAACCUCUGUUUGGCACUUGGUAUUCUACCAGUUGCCUUUAAAACUUUUUUUUUUUAUUUCACUGAAGGAAAGGAACGUGUAGGAUUUAACAGUAACCACUGCACUGAAUAUGGUGGCAUGUGGAAUCAUGAUAUUCUUCACUAAAUUUUGCUGUCCCUGAUCACAAAUUCCAAAAUAAUACAGCAUAAUUUUUAGUGCAUUUCUCCUCACUAGGAAUGUUGGAGGUGCAUUUUAAGUUUUCAUAAUAAAUGCUAGAAUGACCAAAUUGCAGACUAAUUAUUUCCAUAUUGUACUUAAAAAUGAGUUUUUAAAAAUGAAAAGAGAUGACUAUAUACAAUCAAUGCUAUUUAUUGUACCUCUGGGCCUACUGUUCCAAAAAUUGAGCUUAUCAUUUUUUCUCUGUCAAGCUUGAACUAAUGUAAAUAAUUGAAAUAAUGUAAAGUUAUAUUUUCAUGUUUUUAUAGAUACAACAUGAGAAGAAUACAUAAUGUAAGAGUAUUUCAACUAUGGAUAAUGUUGAUUGGAUAAUGCACAUCUCAGUUACAAACAGUAAUUAUAGUCUAAUAUCCAUGUAACGGUGCAUCAAUAUACUGCUAUAUAAAUAUGUCUGUGUGCAUAUAAGUGAAAAGUGGACAAACAAGAGUGAUGACAGAUGUCUAAAGGUUUUUUUAUUCAUUUUAUAUAAAACCAGUUAUGGAAAGACCAAAAUGUUUAUGAACUAUUCUUAUGUAAAUUUACAACUGUCCUUUACUGUACUUUUUUGUUUACAGUAUAGUACCUUAUUUUCUGCUGUGUUAAGUGGGUGUCAAGCUCCAAGGAGACAUACACUUUCUACAACUUCUAUUGAAGAUAUUGGGAUUUCCAAUUUUUCAGUGUACUCUGUCAGAAAAUGCUUUUGAUUUUAUUUUUAAAUCUAACAUCGGAUGGCUUUUUCGGAGUGUUGUAAAAAU